AAGACCUUGCGCUUUUGGAGCGGCCGAUGCCUGAUUAGCUUGUUGGUAAGGUAAAAGCUUACCAAGGCUUCGAUCAGUAGCUGGUCUGAGAGGACGGCCAGCCACACUGGGACUGAGACACGGCCCAGACUCCUACGGGAGGCAGCAGUGGGGAAUUUUGGACAAUGGGGGCAACCCUGAUCCAGCCAUGCCGCGUGAGUGAAGAAGGCCUUCGGGUUGUAAAGCUCUUUCAGCCGGAACGAAACGGUUACGGUUAAUACCCGUGACUACUGACGGUACCGGAAGAAGAAGCACCGGCUAACUACGUGCCAGCAGCCGCGGUAAUACGUAGGGUGCGAGCGUUAAUCGGAAUUACUGGGCGUAAAGCGUGCGCAGGUGGUUUUGUAAGUCAGAUGUGAAAGCCCCGGGCCCAACCUGGGAACU
RNAcentral lists this ribosomal RNA (423 nucleotides) under uncultured bacterium. RNAcentral describes it as "bacterial SSU rRNA". It matches the Rfam family "Bacterial small subunit ribosomal RNA", at positions 207 to 622 of the family's 1533-position model. The record is from RNAcentral.